RNAcentral lists this ribosomal RNA (312 nucleotides) under Streptomyces sp. Its description in RNAcentral is "bacterial SSU rRNA". It matches the Rfam family "Bacterial small subunit ribosomal RNA", at positions 983 to 1290 of the family's 1533-position model. The record is from RNAcentral. Lineage: Bacteria; Bacillati; Actinomycetota; Actinomycetes; Kitasatosporales; Streptomycetaceae.
GACAUACACCGGAAACGUCUGGAGACAGGCGCCCCCUUGUGGUCGGUGUACAGGUGGUGCAUGGCUGUCGUCAGCUCGUGUCGUGAGAUGUUGGGUUAAGUCCCGCAACGAGCGCAACCCUUGUCCCGUGUUGCCAGCAGGCCCUUGUGGUGCUGGGGACUCACGGGAGACCGCCGGGGUCAACUCGGAGGAAGGUGGGGACGACGUCAAGUCAUCAUGCCCCUUAUGUCUUGGGCUGCACACGUGCUACAAUGGCCGGUACAAUGAGCUGCGAUACCGUGAGGUGGAGCGAAUCUCAAAAAGCCGGUCUCA